AACGAACGCUGGCGGCAUGCCUAACACAUGCAAGUCGAACGAGACCUUCGGGUCUAGUGGCGCACGGGUGCGUAACGCGUGGGAACCUGCCCUUAGGUUCGGAAUAACUCCCCGAAAGGGGUGCUAAUACCGGAUAAUUUCUUCGGACCAAAGAUUUAUCGCCUUUGGAUGGGCCCGCGUUGGAUUAGCUAGUUGGUAGGGUAAAAGCCUACCAAGGCGACGAUCCAGAGCUGGUCUGAGAGGAUGAUCAGCCACACUGGGACUGAGACACGGCCCAGACUCCUACGGGAGGCAGCAGUGGGGAAUAUUGGACAAUGGGCGAAAGCCUGAUCCAGCAAUGCCGCGUGAGUGAUGAAGGCCUUAGGGUUGUAAAGCUCUUUUACCCGGGAUGAUAAUGACAGUACCGGGAGAAUAAGCUCCGGCUAACUCCGUG
RNAcentral lists this ribosomal RNA (433 nucleotides) under uncultured bacterium. RNAcentral's name for it is "partial 16S ribosomal RNA". It matches the Rfam family "Bacterial small subunit ribosomal RNA", at positions 29 to 507 of the family's 1533-position model. The record is from RNAcentral.